Non-coding RNA from Acanthosepion pharaonis, 111 nucleotides. The record is from the annotation of a GenBank genome assembly. Lineage: Eukaryota; Metazoa; Mollusca; Cephalopoda; Sepiida; Sepiidae.
CAGCUAUAUCACAUUGAAACCCCAGUUCUCAUAUGAUCGCCAAAGUUAAGCAAUGUUGAUCUUGGUCAUUACCUUGAUGUGUGACCACUUUGGAAUACCAGGUGCUGUAAG